This 1297-nucleotide ribosomal RNA is filed under the name Streptomyces cirratus. RNAcentral's name for it is "bacterial SSU rRNA". It matches the Rfam family "Bacterial small subunit ribosomal RNA", at positions 88 to 1392 of the family's 1533-position model. Lineage: Bacteria; Bacillati; Actinomycetota; Actinomycetes; Kitasatosporales; Streptomycetaceae. The record is from RNAcentral.
UGGAUUAGUGGCGAACGGGUGAGUAACACGUGGGCAAUCUGCCCUUCACUCUGGGACAAGCCCUGGAAACGGGGUCUAAUACCGGAUAAUACUCCUGCCUGCAUGGGCGGGGGUUGAAAGCUCCGGCGGUGAAGGAUGAGCCCGCGGCCUAUCAGCUUGUUGGUGGGGUAAUGGCCCACCAAGGCGACGACGGGUAGCCGGCCUGAGAGGGCGACCGGCCACACUGGGACUGAGACACGGCCCAGACUCCUACGGGAGGCAGCAGUGGGGAAUAUUGCACAAUGGGCGAAAGCCUGAUGCAGCGACGCCGCGUGAGGGAUGACGGCCUUCGGGUUGUAAACCUCUUUCAGCAGGGAAGAAGCGAAAGUGACGGUACCUGCAGAAGAAGCGCCGGCUAACUACGUGCCAGCAGCCGCGGUAAUACGUAGGGCGCAAGCGUUGUCCGGAAUUAUUGGGCGUAAAGAGCUCGUAGGCGGCUUGUCACGUCGGAUGUGAAAGCCCGAGGCUUAACCUCGGGUCUGCAUUCGAUACGGGCUAGCUAGAGUGUGGUAGGGGAGAUCGGAAUUCCUGGUGUAGCGGUGAAAUGCGCAGAUAUCAGGAGGAACACCGGUGGCGAAGGCGGAUCUAUGGGCCAUUACUGAUGCUGAGGAGCGAAAGCGUGGGGAGCGGACAGGAUUAGAUACCCUGGUAGUCCACGCCGUAAACGUUGGGAACUAGGUGUUGGAGACAUUCCACGUCGUCGGUGCCGCAGCUAACGCAUUAAGUUACCCGCCUGGGGAGUACGGCCGCAAGGCUAAAACUCAAAGGAAUUGACGGGGGCCCGCACAAGCGCGGAGCAUGUGGCUUAAUUCGACGCCCCGCGAAGAACCUUCCCCCGGCUUGACAUAUACCGGAAAGCAUUAGAGAUAGUGCCCACCUUGUGGUCGGUAUACAGGUGGUGCAUGGCUGUCGUUAGCUCGUGUUGUGAGAUGUUGGGUUAAGUCCCGCAACGCGAGCAACCCUUGUCCUGUGUUGCCAGCAUGCCCUUCGGGGUGAUGGGGACUCACAGGAGACCGCCGGGGUCAACUCGGAGGAAGGUGGGGACGACGUCAAGUCAUCAUGCCCCUUAUGUCUUGGGCUGCACACGUGCUACAAUGGCCGGUACAAUGAGCUGCGAUACCGUGAGGUGGAGCGAAUCUCCAAAAGCCGGUCUCAGUUCGGAUUGGGGUCUGCAACUCGACCCCAUGAAGUCGGAGUCGCUAGUAAUCGCAGAUCAGCAUUGCUGCGGUGAAUACGUUCCCGGGCCUUGUACACACCG